GAUGAACGCUGGCGGCGUGCCUAAUACAUGCAAGUCGAGCGAACAGACGAGGAGCUUGCUCCUCUGACGUUAGCGGCGGACGGGUGAGUAACACGUGGAUAACCUACCUAUAAGACUGGGAUAACUUCGGGAAACCGGAGCUAAUACCGGAUAAUAUAUUGAACCGCAUGGUUCAAUAGUGAAAGACGGUUUUGCUGUCACUUAUAGAUGGAUCCGCGCCGCAUUAGCUAGUUGGUAAGGUAACGGCUUACCAAGGCGACGUUGCGUAGCCGACCUGAGAGGGGGACGGCCACAAUGGAACGUGAGACGCGGCCAGGCCCCCUGGGGGGGGAGCAGGUGGGAAUUCUCCCGAAGUGGGGGAAGCCCGGACGGGGCAGCGCGGGGGGGGGGAGAAAGGUCUUGGGAUCUAAAAACUUUUUUAUGGGGGAAAAAAAAAGGUGAAAGUAAAUAGGCACUUCUGGGGGUACCUAAAUAGGAAGCCCGGGACAAGGUCGGUC
This 497-nucleotide ribosomal RNA is filed under the name uncultured bacterium. Its description in RNAcentral is "partial 16S ribosomal RNA". It matches the Rfam family "Bacterial small subunit ribosomal RNA", at positions 28 to 508 of the family's 1533-position model. The record is from RNAcentral.